This 27-nucleotide unclassified non-coding RNA is filed under the name Mus musculus (house mouse). Its description in RNAcentral is "oocyte_clustered_small_RNA6640". The record is from RNAcentral. Lineage: Eukaryota; Metazoa; Chordata; Mammalia; Rodentia; Muridae.
CUACCAAUGCUUUGACCACUCCUUGAA